This is a long non-coding RNA of Thamnophis elegans (Western terrestrial garter snake), 856 nucleotides long. RefSeq lists it as uncharacterized. The record is from RefSeq and is a predicted model, not a curated record. The transcript has 2 exons. Lineage: Eukaryota; Metazoa; Chordata; Lepidosauria; Squamata; Natricidae.
CUGGGGCGGCGGCAGCAGCAACAGCAUCAGCUCUUCUCUUUGGAGGCCUGGCUGGCUCUUUCUGGGCUCCCCAAAGCCUCCUUUGUCUCCCGGCUAAUCAGCCUUCCGGGCUUCCUGGCGGCCACAGUAGGUGAGCCAGGGAAAGUGAUGGGGAAGAGUGUUUGUUUUAAUGCAGCAACAACCGACUCGCCUGACGCGCUUGAGGCUGUUACCUAAGAAAGCGCCGCUUUAUCGGAGUUGACGAAGUGGAGUCGGUGAGUCUGACAGGCUCCACCAAGAGAGCCAAGGAGGAAGAGUCUCAACAUCUUGGCGACCAAAGCAACGUAUAAGCUGCCCUCCAGUUUGUCCACAGGAGAGCAAAAGCCAAAAUGGUGGCCACGAGUUUGUGACGAAAACAUCUUUACUGUUCUGACUGUUAAUUUCAAAGAGCUUGUUGAGGCACAACGUUGACGGCAUCAGCUAAAGCGCAAACUUUUGAGAGCCUGUCUCUCUCUUCCCUGGAUGAGAUAUGGCAGAAAGAAGCGAAGAAGGGAAAAAGAAACGUUUCAUUUGCUGCAGAAGCCAGAAAAAUCACAGGAAUAAAGCGAUGAUAAAUGUUCAGUUGGCGUCUCCCUGUUGCUGUGAUGAGUGUUCAGUUGCACAAGACAAAGCAAAUGCAGAGACAUAAAUCUAUAGAUUCUUCUUAAAUCCACAUGGGAAACGUGGGUUUCUUCAGAGAUAAAGUACAGUAUAUUAGGAGCAAAAGAAGAGAGAGGAUUUUUUUAAAAAAACCAAUAUGGUGGUCAAGUCAAGUUGCAGAUUGGUUUGUACCGCUGAAAAUUUCAAAAGAAUGUUAAAAUUAUCACUUCUUCAUCUA